CAAGUUUAAUUUUUGUAUAUUUGCUUCGACCCAAUGGAGAUAAAGUUGGCAUUUGAGAUUCUUGUGAACUGUUGGAUAUUCCUGAGUCACUUCGGUUAAUUCUGUAUCUUGCCUGUUCAAUGGACUGAAGUUUUAUUACUUACAUGUUGUCAGUCGCUUGGAUCCACGAAACCAUCCCACAUCUGGCUGAGGACGUGUAUUUUUUACAGUACAAGCUGCUUUGAGAGACUGACGCUCUUGCAUUGGACCCACUACACUUCCAUUUUCAAUUCGGUCGCCCUUCACAUCCAAAAUUAUAACUUCCGAUGGUGGCACUGCAUAAGUGUGUGUUUAAAAUCCCAUAUAUAAUUUCUUUUGUAUACAACUUUAUAAAUUUAAUUUGAUUAAAUUAUUUAUAGAAUGUUAUGGUUAUGAAUCAAAUUGACAAUAAACGAGGAAAGGAAAGCUAAUUUCGACCGUAUUCUAUUCUAUACGGUGCUUUGGAAAAAUAUUUAUACUUAAUAGGGACGGAGA
Long non-coding RNA from Drosophila ananassae, 513 nucleotides. RefSeq lists it as uncharacterized. The record is from RefSeq and is a predicted model, not a curated record. The transcript is spliced from 2 exons. Lineage: Eukaryota; Metazoa; Arthropoda; Insecta; Diptera; Drosophilidae.